Molecule: ribosomal RNA, 1804 nt
Filed under: Escherichia coli K-12
Lineage: Bacteria; Pseudomonadati; Pseudomonadota; Gammaproteobacteria; Enterobacterales; Enterobacteriaceae
Description: partial 23S ribosomal RNA
Rfam family: Bacterial large subunit ribosomal RNA
Source: RNAcentral
GGGUUGUGAGGUUAAGCGACUAAGCGUACACGGUGGAUGCCCUGGCAGUCAGAGGCGAUGAAGGACGUGCUAAUCUGCGAUAAGCGUCGGUAAGGUGAUAUGAACCGUUAUAACCGGCGAUUUCCGAAUGGGGAAACCCAGUGUGUUUCGACACACUAUCAUUAACUGAAUCCAUAGGUUAAUGAGGCGAACCGGGGGAACUGAAACAUCUAAGUACCCCGAGGAAAAGAAAUCAACCGAGAUUCCCCCAGUAGCGGCGAGCGAACGGGGAGCAGCCCAGAGCCUGAAUCAGUGUGUGUGUUAGUGGAAGCGUCUGGAAAGGCGCGCGAUACAGGGUGACAGCCCCGUACACAAAAAUGCACAUGCUGUGAGCUCGAUGAGUAGGGCGGGACACGUGGUAUCCUGUCUGAAUAUGGGGGGACCAUCCUCCAAGGCUAAAUACUCCUGACUGACCGAUAGUGAACCAGUACCGUGAGGGAAAGGCGAAAAGAACCCCGGCGAGGGGAGUGAAAAAGAACCUGAAACCGUGUACGUACAAGCAGUGGGAGCACGCUUAGGCGUGUGACUGCGUACCUUUUGUAUAAUGGGUCAGCGACUUAUAUUCUGUAGCAAGGUUAACCGAAUAGGGGAGCCGAAGGGAAACCGAGUCUUAACUGGGCGUUAAGUUGCAGGGUAUAGACCCGAAACCCGGUGAUCUAGCCAUGGGCAGGUUGAAGGUUGGGUAACACUAACUGGAGGACCGAACCGACUAAUGUUGAAAAAUUAGCGGAUGACUUGUGGCUGGGGGUGAAAGGCCAAUCAAACCGGGAGAUAGCUGGUUCUCCCCGAAAGCUAUUUAGGUAGCGCCUCGUGAAUUCAUCUCCGGGGGUAGAGCACUGUUUCGGCAAGGGGGUCAUCCCGACUUACCAACCCGAUGCAAACUGCGAAUACCGGAGAAUGUUAUCACGGGAGACACACGGCGGGUGCUAACGUCCGUCGUGAAGAGGGAAACAACCCAGACCGCCAGCUAAGGUCCCAAAGUCAUGGUUAAGUGGGAAACGAUGUGGGAAGGCCCAGACAGCCAGGAUGUUGGCUUAGAAGCAGCCAUCAUUUAAAGAAAGCGUAAUAGCUCACUGGUCGAGUCGGCCUGCGCGGAAGAUGUAACGGGGCUAAACCAUGCACCGAAGCUGCGGCAGCGACGCUUAUGCGUUGUUGGGUAGGGGAGCGUUCUGUAAGCCUGCGAAGGUGUGCUGUGAGGCAUGCUGGAGGUAUCAGAAGUGCGAAUGCUGACAUAAGUAACGAUAAAGCGGGUGAAAAGCCCGCUCGCCGGAAGACCAAGGGUUCCUGUCCAACGUUAAUCGGGGCAGGGUGAGUCGACCCCUAAGGCGAGGCCGAAAGGCGUAGUCGAUGGGAAACAGGUUAAUAUUCCUGUACUUGGUGUUACUGCGAAGGGGGGACGGAGAAGGCUAUGUUGGCCGGGCGACGGUUGUCCCGGUUUAAGCGUGUAGGCUGGUUUUCCAGGCAAAUCCGGAAAAUCAAGGCUGAGGCGUGAUGACGAGGCACUACGGUGCUGAAGCAACAAAUGCCCUGCUUCCAGGAAAAGCCUCUAAGCAUCAGGUAACAUCAAAUCGUACCCCAAACCGACACAGGUGGUCAGGUAGAGAAUACCAAGGCGCUUGAGAGAACUCGGGUGAAGGAACUAGGCAAAAUGGUGCCGUAACUUCGGGAGAAGGCACGCUGAUAUGUAGGUGAAGCGACUUGCUCGUGGAGCUGAAAUCAGUCGAAGAUACCAGCUGGCUGCAACUGUUUAUUAAAAACACAGCAC